This 77-nucleotide transfer RNA is filed under the name Limisphaerales bacterium. RNAcentral's name for it is "Verrucomicrobia subdivision 3 bacterium (sediment metagenome) tRNA-Arg". It matches the Rfam family "tRNA". From Rfam's summary of the family: Transfer RNA (tRNA) molecules are approximately 80 nucleotides in length. The record is from RNAcentral. Lineage: Bacteria; Pseudomonadati; Verrucomicrobiota; Verrucomicrobiia; Limisphaerales.
GCAUCCGUAGCUCAAUUGGAUGGAGCUUCUGACUUCGGAUCAGAAGGUUGCAGGUUCAAGUCCUGCCGGAUGCACCA